RNAcentral lists this ribosomal RNA (700 nucleotides) under uncultured bacterium. RNAcentral's name for it is "bacterial SSU rRNA". It matches the Rfam family "Bacterial small subunit ribosomal RNA", at positions 94 to 828 of the family's 1533-position model. The record is from RNAcentral.
AGUGGCGGGCGGGUGAGUAACGCGUAAGAAUCUAACUUCAGGACGGGGACAACAGUUGGAAACGACUGCUAAUACCCGAUGUGCCGCAAGGUGAAACCUAAUUGGCGUGGAGAAGAGCUUGCGUCUGAUUAGCUAGCUGGUGGGGUAAAGGCCUACCAAGGCGACGAUCAGUAGCUGGUCUGAGAGGAUGAGCAGCCACACUGGGACUGAGACACGGCCCAGACUCCUACGGGAGGCAGCAGUGGGGAAUUUUCCGCAAUGGGCGAAAGCCUGACGGAGCAACGCCGCGUGAGGGAGGAAGGUCUUUGGAUUGUAAACCUCUUUUCUCAAGGAAGAAGUUCUGACGGUACUUGAGGAAUCAGCCUCGGCUAACUCCGUGCCAGCAGCCGCGGUAAUACGGGGGAGGCAAGCGUUAUCCGGAAUUAUUGGGCGUAAAGCGUCCGCAGGUGGUCAGCCAAGUCUGCCGUCAAAUCAGGUUGCUUAACGACCUAAAGGCGGUGGAAACUGGCAGACUAGAGAGCAGUAGGGGUAGCAGGAAUUCCCAGUGUAGCGGUGAAAUGCGUAGAGAUUGGGAAGAACAUCGGUGGCGAAAGCGUGCUACUGGGCUGUAUCUGACACUCAGGGACGAAAGCUAGGGGAGCGAAAGGGAUUAGAUACCCCUGUAGUCCUAGCCGUAAACGAUGGAUACUAGGCGUGGCUU